CGACCGGCGCACGGGUGCGUAACGCGUAUGUAACCUACCUAUAACAGGGGCAUAACACUGAGAAAUUGGUACUAAUUCCCCAUAAUAUUCGGAGAGGCAUCUCUCCGGGUUGAAAACUCCGGUGGUUAUAGAUGGACAUGCGUUGUAUUAGCUAGUUGGUGAGGUAACGGCUCACCAAGGCAACGAUACAUAGGGGGACUGAGAGGUUAACCCCCCACACUGGUACUGAGGCACGGACCAG
This 241-nucleotide ribosomal RNA is filed under the name uncultured bacterium. RNAcentral's name for it is "partial 16S ribosomal RNA". It matches the Rfam family "Bacterial small subunit ribosomal RNA", at positions 92 to 334 of the family's 1533-position model. The record is from RNAcentral.